GACUCUCUGUUUGCUUUGCUCUCGCUGAUGCCUAAAUUUGAUGACAUGUUUUCUACUGUUUCGUUCUGUUGCCACAAGUUUGUGGGCUACAGGUCAGCGGGUUAUUGGGAUCCCCACCGGGCUGGUCUAGGGUUGGCAAAAUCCGGAUCCAGAUCCGCAUUUACAUGUAUGCAUCCGGAUCCGCAAAAAAACAUACGGAUCCGGAUGAGGGUAAUAUCCGCAACGGAUGCGGCGGAUAUUCCGGAUAUCCAGAUCCUUAAAAUUAAAAUUUAAUAAUUUAAUAUAUAAUUUAAAAAUCCAACCAUAAUGCAGUAAUUAACAAUUCAACAAGAAAAUUAAUGCAUUUAAUUGGAGAAAUUAAAUUAAAAUGAGUUAACAUAUGUGGAAAAAAAAAAGAGAUUAAGCAUUUUACAUUAUAUUGAAAUUUAAUGUAUUUAAUUAGAGUAAUUAAAUAAAUCAGCAAAGAAAAUUAAUAAAAAUCAAAUUAAAUUGAAUCAACAAGAAAUUAAAUUAAGCUAACAACAUUUUGAAGUUUAAACAAGUUUACAUUAGAUUAAACUCAUUAAAUACAAUCAAUUAACCACAAUACCAAAUUAUUAACCAGAGAAAGGAAAAACUCAUGUAAUUAAUGAAAAUGGUAUUAUUGACCAGAGAAAGGAAAAACCCAUGUAAUUAAUAAAAAGAAAAGAAAAUUAACAGAAACAAAGAGCAAAUUACAGGCACGAAUGAUCCAAUCAGGCGAGGUUUGGACGAUGGUGACGUGGGUGACGCGUGCAGCAACAGCGGUGUGGCGAGCUUCAACGACGGCAAGGCUUGCAGUGUGCAGCGACAGCAACGUGCUCAGGGGAGGCGACGACGGCAAGGCUUGCAGUGUGCAGCGAUAGCAACGUGCUCAGGCGAGGCUGCGACGCGAGGCUCAGGCGAGGCUGCAAGGAAGACGGCGACCGGUCGACGGCGUUACAAGCCCUUCAGAUUUGGCCGGCGUUAGAGAUUUGAAGGUUGCGGCUGCUGGUGAGUGGUGAGGUACCGUGAGGCUUGACUCUUGAGAGUGUGUGAAACUGGAUGCGAUAUUGU
This 1074-nucleotide long non-coding RNA is filed under the name Citrus maxima (pomelo). RNAcentral's name for it is "long non-coding RNA (CMAX_LNC001993)". The record is from RNAcentral. Lineage: Eukaryota; Viridiplantae; Streptophyta; Magnoliopsida; Sapindales; Rutaceae.